This 471-nucleotide ribosomal RNA is filed under the name bacterium AER23A. RNAcentral describes it as "bacterial SSU rRNA". It matches the Rfam family "Bacterial small subunit ribosomal RNA", at positions 75 to 529 of the family's 1533-position model. The record is from RNAcentral.
GAAGCUUGCUUCUUCUGAUUUUAGCGGCGGACGGGUGAGUAACACGUGGGCAACCUACCUUGUAGAUUGGGAUAACUCCGGGAAACCGGGGCUAAUACCGAAUAAUCCAUUUCGCUUCAUGGCGAGAUGUUGAAAGACGGUUUCGGCUGUCACUACGAGAUGGGCCCGCGGCGCAUUAGCUAGUUGGUAGGGUAAUGGCCUACCAAGGCGACGAUGCGUAGCCGACCUGAGAGGGUGAUCGGCCACACUGGGACUGAGACACGGCCCAGACUCCUACGGGAGGCAGCAGUAGGGAAUCUUCCACAAUGGACGAAAGUCUGAUGGAGCAACGCCGCGUGAGUGAAGAAGGUUUUCGGAUCGUAAAACUCUGUUGUAAGGGAAGAACACGUACGAGAGUAACUGCUCGUACCUUGACGGUACCUUAUUAGAAAGCCACGGCUAACUACGUGCCAGCAGCCGCGGUAAUACGGA